CCUACGGGAGGCAGCAGUGAGGAAUAUUGGUCAAUGGCCGAGAGGCUGAACCAGCCAAGUCGCGUGAGGGAAGACGGCCCUACGGGUUGUAAACCUCUUUUGUCGGGGAGCAAAGCGAGUCACGUGUGACUCAUUGAGAGUACCCGAAGAAAAAGCAUCGGCUAACUCCGUGCCAGCAGCCGCGGUAAUACGGAGGAUGCGAGCGUUAUCCGGAUUUAUUGGGUUUAACGGGUGCGCAGGCGGAGGUGCAAGUCAGCGGUCAAAUUGCGGGGCUCAACCCCGUACUGCCGUUGAAACUGGAGCCCUUGAGUGCGCGAGAAGUAUGCGGAAUGCGUGGUGUAGCGGUGAAAUGCAUAGAUAUCACGCAGAACUCCGAUUGCGAAGGCAGCAUACCGGCGCGCAACUGACGCUCAUGCACGAAAGCGUGGGUAUCGAACAGGAUUAGAUACCCGGGUAGUC
This 459-nucleotide ribosomal RNA is filed under the name uncultured bacterium. Its description in RNAcentral is "partial 16S ribosomal RNA". It matches the Rfam family "Bacterial small subunit ribosomal RNA", at positions 338 to 795 of the family's 1533-position model. The record is from RNAcentral.